Molecule: non-coding RNA, 383 nt
Organism: Paramuricea clavata
Lineage: Eukaryota; Metazoa; Cnidaria; Anthozoa; Malacalcyonacea; Plexauridae
Source: the annotation of a GenBank genome assembly
CAGUGAUGCUUUCUGGGCAAAAUCAUGAUGUGUGAUCUUGAAUGUGACCUGGUUAAGUGUGUUUGCUUUCAUAUAUUGGAAAGUCGACACAUAAUUGUAGAUUUAUUUCUUCACCGUUGUCUAUAGAGUUGCCCUUUGGUGUGCGUUUGCCCCCCUUGCCUUUUUAUCGUUCCGGCGUCCCUGACCGUGUUUAUGAAAUCAUGGUGUGUUCAGUCUUGAUAGUGCGUACGUUACGCUUUUGCAUUUUGUUAGUAGCGUCUCUAAAUAAAUGGCAAUUUGUCCAAAGUCUCACAAAUUUCGUAUUUUAAGAGGAGGAUCUUUUGUAUAUUACAUUAAACGUGCUAAAAACUAAUGAAUAUGCUUUAAUUUCCACUUGGUUAAUA